Long non-coding RNA from Macadamia integrifolia, 1022 nucleotides. RefSeq lists it as uncharacterized. The transcript is spliced from 4 exons. Lineage: Eukaryota; Viridiplantae; Streptophyta; Magnoliopsida; Proteales; Proteaceae. The record is from RefSeq and is a predicted model, not a curated record.
UCAGAGAUCAUCGAUGUGAUUCAAAGCAAUUCUAUUUCUCUUCAUUUUUUCCACUGAAAAAGAAAAUAUAUUUUGUUUUACUAUCUCAUUUAUCUUUAUUUUAUUUUACCAUCUUCAUUAAUACCUUCCACUAAUUGCUCUUACACCUUUCCAACCAACUGUUCUCCUAAAUCUGAUUCCCUAGCCUUUAUAACCAAUUAUUCAAGCUUCAGCCCUAAACUAUCACACCAUGUCCAUCAAGCACAAAUUUCUUUUGGCCUUUAAGUGAUUUAGUUUUCCUGCAUCACUCUUGCAAUCAUGACAUCUAAUGUGGAUAUAAAAUUCAGUGCCAACAAGAUUGAGACUGAUAAAUUUCUAUGUGAUGGAAUUUUAUGAGAUCAUUUUGGAUCAUCUUGCCUUAUAGGUAAGAGUGGAAGGACCCGUGCAGAAGGUUUCUGAUGAGGAGUCUGAGAAGUACUUCCAUAGUCGUCCUCGUGGUUCUCAGAUCGGAGCAAUUGUUAGCAAGCAGAGUACAAUUGUUCCUGGAAGGCAUGUUCUGCAUCAAGAGUAUAGAGUACUGGAAGCGAAAUUUUCUGAUGGAAGCUUGAUUCCAAAACCCAAACACUCGGGUGGAUACCGGCUAAAACCAGUUGUCAUUGAGUUUUGGCAAGGACAACAGUCUCGUCUGCAUGAUCGGUUGCAAUAUUCUCUUCAAGACGUUGAUGGAAAGCUAGUGUGGAAAAUUGAUCGAUUGGCCCCAUGACUAGUUUUUCCAUUCUCAUCUUUAUAAUAAACUUUGCAUGAAUUAAAUAUUUUCAUUCUCAUCUUUGUAAUUUUCUUGGCAAGGAUUCAUUUGUUACUGUUUUUGUAGAUAUAAACUAGUGAGAGGCAUGUGUGAUGCAUAGCACAUAAAUAAGUGAUUUGCAUGGUUAAGUCACCAUUAUUACUGGUGGGGGCAGUCGAGUAAUGUGACAGAUAGGGUAAUUAGUACUCAAUUUCUUUUGUAUUUUGGUAAUUUAAACUGAGACAAUUAGUUUUUUUUU